UUUGAUUAUCGAUUAGUCGCGUCUGCGCGCUAUGCCCGGGAAACCAUCAGCUAGUCACGUUGCAGUAGCCUAGUGAAUAACCCAUUUCUAUGGACAAAACGCAUAUGGAAAGUAACGGAGGACACAGAGUAAGCUGCUGCGAAAAGAGACAUGGACUUGUGUUGAGUGCAUGUGUACAUGCAGCAUGAUGUGCGGCUACAGCUAGGAUGCAAUACCUGUACAUGCCUGGAGAAAGCUCACGGUUUGCAUUGGCAUUCAUCUCACCUGGCACAGGACAUUCACCCUUAGAUGUAAAAGUGGGUUGCUGUGCUGAUGGAGUGCAGUUUUGGCUGGAUGUGCAGAUUGUUUGACAUGCAUAAUUGGAUGUGAUAUCAUGACGACUCAUUUGGGCCAUGGGUUCCUCUGGGUCAUCUGCAUCUGUGUUCACCACUUAACGUUUGGAGUCAAAAACACACAGCUGGCCAUUUGAGGAGGCCGUCCCUGUGAAUCUGUCUAUUAUGGAUGAGGUUCUCAAACAUCUGAAUUGACAGCCCAUGGCCCUGCAGACCAGAGGGAAGCAUCAGUGCGCAUCUCCUGAGAAUUUUGUAGAGCUGGAAGACAAAAGCCUCUGCUGAUGCUUUCCAUCUGGCAAAGACUGAAGCUGGACUUCUAAAAUGAGGCAAAGUCCCCGCUCUGUGUUUGUUUUUUGUUUUUUUUAAGUCAUGUUCCAAUUACAUUUGAUGUUUGCAUGGUUUUUGGGUUGGCAAAUAAAAGGCAAAUGAAACCGCA
Molecule: long non-coding RNA, 768 nt
Organism: Ctenopharyngodon idella (grass carp)
Lineage: Eukaryota; Metazoa; Chordata; Actinopteri; Cypriniformes; Xenocyprididae
Exons: 4
Source: RefSeq, a predicted model, not a curated record